AUAGUGUCCCAUGUAUUCACAGUCACCUGGCAGAAAACCGGAGUCCUCCUGGAGCGUCCUGUCGCCUUGGUAACAGACGCGCUCUCCGCACUUCCGGGUUUCCAAAAACGUAACAUUUCUUACAGUGUAUCAUCUCCUCAUUUAGCUAGGUAGCAAUAUCAAUGUUCGUCUGUGGCUCGGUUACUUUAUAAUAUUGAUGAUUCGGUGAUAUCCGCUCUGUUGUUGGUUGGUAAAAAACACACGGGCUAUCGUAAUGUUUGAGUCAGAGCCGCGGGCUGGGGUAACGGAGGAGGAGGAGAGGAGAGAGGCAGAGCAGCUAGAGACAGAGUUGGAUAAAUACUUCUUCACGGUGUUUGACGGCUCGUCUCCUGAAGAUGUGUCUCACGCCAAGCAGCUGUGGACCUCUUUGUCACUGCUGCCUCCGCUAGAGUCCCGCCUGGUCAACGCAGACAUCCGCCAGAGGCUGCCGAUAGCCCGGACAAACCAAGAGACACUCCUGGUAGUCGGUAAGACACCAAUGCUGCUCUCAAACCAUCUUCUUCGGACCAUAGAGAGAGGCUGCAGGAGGUUCGCCAUCAGAAGCAGAGACAGGAGGACAGGCUGCAGGAGGUUCGCCAUCAGAAGCAGAGACAGGAAGAGAGACAGAGAUACAUGGACAUGGCCAGACGGAGAGAGGACAUCAUCAACAUGCUACAUCAACAGAGACAGAAGAGGAUCCAGGUGAAACACCGUGUUACUAUACUUAGGGAAACAGUCUCGCUCCCCUACAAGCCUAGGCAGAGGGACAAGAGUGAGAGGCUGGCUGUUAACCCCCCAGGGCACCUGGACACAGACGUGGAGGAGGUCCGAAGGCUUCAGUAACACACAGACCUCGGCGUCAGAACAGAACCAGGCGGAUCCAUGUCUGCAGGAGUUGAUGUUUUAGUUACAGUGACUUCCUGUUUUUAUAAAGUCUGUCUUUGAUGAA
RNA transcript from Oncorhynchus keta (chum salmon), 967 nucleotides. It is a transcript of the gene named HOATZ cilia and flagella associated protein, with no coding region annotated. Lineage: Eukaryota; Metazoa; Chordata; Actinopteri; Salmoniformes; Salmonidae. The transcript has 6 exons. The record is from RefSeq and is a predicted model, not a curated record.